GCCGAUGCUUUAGAUAGAUUCGGAAGGCGUGCUUCCGGGGCGGCGAUAGCGCGAUUGCAAGGCGUUGUUGCCGUUUACAUA
RNAcentral lists this non-coding RNA (81 nucleotides) under Candidatus Ventrisoma faecale. RNAcentral's name for it is "COG2827 RNA". It matches the Rfam family "COG2827 RNA". Rfam says of the family: Clostridiales. Nearby to self-splicing intron genes Lineage: Bacteria; Bacillati; Bacillota; Clostridia. RNAcentral also lists the same sequence under 2 other names. The record is from RNAcentral.